UGCCCUAGUAACGGCGAGUGAAGCGGCAACAGCUCAAAUUUGAAAGCUGGCCUUCGGGUCCGCAUUGUAAUUUGUAGAGGAUGCUUUGGGUGAAACGCCAGUCUAAGUUCCUUGGAACAGGACGUCAUAGAGGGUGAGAAUCCCGUAUGUGACUGGAAAUGUUAACCUAUGUAAAGCUCCUUCGACGAGUCGAGUUGUUUGGGAAUGCAGCUCUAAAUGGGAGGUAAAUUUCUUCUAAAGCUAAAUAUUGGCGAGAGACCGAUAGCGCACAAGUAGAGUGAUCGAAAGAUGAAAAGCACUUUGGAAAGAGAGUUAAAAAGCACGUGAAAUUGUUGAAAGGGAAGCGCUUGCAAUCAGACUUGUUUAAACUGUUCGGCCGGUCUUCUGACCGGUUUACUCAGUUUGGACAGGCCAGCAUCAGUUUCGGCGGCCGGAUAAAGGCUCUGGGAAUGUGGCCUUCACUUCGGUGAAGGUGUUAUAGCCCAGGGUGUAAUACGGCCAGCCGGGACUGAGGUCCGCGCUUCGGCUAGGAUGCUGGCGUAAUGGUUGUAAGCGACCCGUCUUGAAACACGGACCAAGGAGUCUAACAUCUAUGCGAGUGUUCGGGUGUCAAACCCCUGCGCGUAAUGAAAGUGAACGGAGGUGGGAACCGCAAGGUGCACCAUCGACCGAUCCUGAUGUCUUCGGAUGGAUUUGAGUAAGAGCAUAGCUGUUGGGACCCGAAAGAUGGUGAACUAUGCCUGAAUAGGGUGAAGCCAGAGGAAACUCUGGUGGAGGCUCGCAGCGGUUCUGACGUGCAAAUCGAUCGUCAAAUUUGGGUAUAGGGGCGAAAGA
Molecule: ribosomal RNA, 834 nt
Filed under: Aureobasidium sp. BJ-2021j
Lineage: Eukaryota; Fungi; Ascomycota; Dothideomycetes; Dothideales; Saccotheciaceae
Description: partial large subunit ribosomal RNA
Rfam family: Eukaryotic large subunit ribosomal RNA
Source: RNAcentral